Molecule: long non-coding RNA, 203 nt
Filed under: Panax ginseng (ginseng)
Lineage: Eukaryota; Viridiplantae; Streptophyta; Magnoliopsida; Apiales; Araliaceae
Description: long non-coding RNA (PGIN_LNC003958)
Source: RNAcentral
AUCUUGGGUGGGUCAAUGAUCUUCUUACAUAGAUCGAUCAUGAUGGUGAUUGAAGUGGUAGAGUUGAUGAUGAUGAUAAUGAUGAAAAGUUGAAGGGGAAGAUAUAGAUGUUUGUAAUAUAUAUCUAUAUAUAAAGCCUCGAGUUAUCCAUAUAUAUAUAUGCAAAGUGUAUAUAUAUAUAUAUGUGAUGAGAGGGAGAGGNN